GUGCUUGCUUUGGCAGCACAUAUACUAUAACUGGAAUGGUACAGAGAAGAUUAGCAUGGCUCUUGUGCAAGAAUGACACACAAAUUCACAAAGCGUUCCAUGUUAAA
Molecule: small nuclear RNA, 107 nt
Filed under: Salvator merianae (Argentine black and white tegu)
Lineage: Eukaryota; Metazoa; Chordata; Lepidosauria; Squamata; Teiidae
Source: RNAcentral